This 469-nucleotide long non-coding RNA is filed under the name Trifolium pratense (red clover). RNAcentral describes it as "long non-coding RNA (TPRA_LNC007760)". The record is from RNAcentral. Lineage: Eukaryota; Viridiplantae; Streptophyta; Magnoliopsida; Fabales; Fabaceae.
GUUUCUGGUGCUGUGUUAUUUUCAAUAAUGAUUCAAGGAGACGAAGAUGAGAAUCUCAAUUUCGAUGAUUCUUUGUAUAUUUCUUCGUUAAAAACUUGCGGCAGUUCGUUAUUUCAUUAUGUUACUUUGAUUCUUUGAGUUCACCGGCAUUGGCGGCAGUAAUUGGUGAGAUUGCGGUUCUUUUCGAUCUUGUGGUGGAUAUGAUUUGACGAUUCUUGAGUUUCGGAUUCAUUGUGAGUGGUGUUAUUGUCACCAUUGAAGAUACUGAUUGCAAAAUUGAAUUUUUCUCUCUUCAAUCCUUGAGGUUUGUCUACAUUGUUCAUCAAAUUCUGUUGAAGGUUAGCUAUUUGAUUUGUCGGUUUAGUGGUGUAUCUUUCGAUUCUUGAAGUUUUGCCGAAGAUUCAGUUUUGAUUCUUUCAAUGGAUGAUGAUUUGAUAGUUUGAUUCUUUGAUUUUGCUACUCGUAUGUG